This 253-nucleotide ribosomal RNA is filed under the name uncultured bacterium. Its description in RNAcentral is "partial 16S ribosomal RNA". It matches the Rfam family "Bacterial small subunit ribosomal RNA", at positions 524 to 776 of the family's 1533-position model. The record is from RNAcentral.
CACGUAGGAGCCAAGCGUUAUCCGAAUUCACUGGGCGUAAAGCGCGUGCAGGCGGUCUGGUAAGUUGGAUGUGAAAUCUCCUGGCUCAACUAGGAGAGGACGUUCAAUACUGUCAGACUAGAGGGCGAUAGAGGAAGGUGGAAUUCCCGGUGUAGUGGUGAAAUGCGUAGAUAUCGGGAGGAACACCAGUGGCGAAAGCGGCCUUCUGGAUCGCAUCUGACGCUCAGACGCGAAAGCUAGGGGAGCGAACGGG